This 117-nucleotide ribosomal RNA is filed under the name Deltaproteobacteria bacterium. The record is from RNAcentral. Lineage: Bacteria; Pseudomonadati; Myxococcota; Myxococcia.
UCCGGUGACCAUGGCGGAGGGGAAACACCCGUUCCCAUUCCGAAUACGGCAGUUAAGCCCUCCAGCGCCGAUGGUACUGCCCCCACAACGGGGCGGGAGAGUAGGACGUUGCCGGGG